GGGAUUGGGUCACAGUUCAUCUCUCUCUCUCUCUCUCUCUCUCUCUCUCUCUCACACACACACACACACACACACACACACACACACAGAGAGAGAGAGAGAGAGAGAGUACUGUAUUUCUAUU
This is a non-coding RNA of Podarcis lilfordi (Lilford's wall lizard), 124 nucleotides long. NCBI's taxonomy places the organism in Eukaryota, Metazoa, Chordata, Lepidosauria, Squamata, Lacertidae. The record is from the annotation of a GenBank genome assembly.